GGAACAUCAGAGCUCCCACCACAUCAGAAGGCAUGUCAGGGAUCUUCUGACUAUGAUGGGGUCAAAUGGAAACUCAUACAGGGACAAGCUGAUGUCGGUGCACCGUUCCGGGAUGUGAUCAGAAACUGUAAAAAGCACGUGACUGAUUGAGCCUUACCUUGGCCCUGAGGAAGCUGUUGCAUUCCUGUUCGACAUUGUAGUUGAUGAUACGGGACACCUCCUCCUGCCAGAUUUUAAGGCCGUAAAUGCUGACGUAGUCCUGGAUGUACUCAAACGACCUGUAGAACCCAUCCAUGGUGGCCGCCAUCUCCUUCAACU
Etheostoma cragini (Arkansas darter) is the source of this 318-nucleotide long non-coding RNA. RefSeq lists it as uncharacterized. The record is from RefSeq and is a predicted model, not a curated record. Lineage: Eukaryota; Metazoa; Chordata; Actinopteri; Perciformes; Percidae. The transcript has 2 exons.